GUGAACGCUGGCGGCAGGCCUAAUACAUGCAAGUCGAACGGCAGCACAGCAGAGCUUGCUCUGUGGGUGGCGAGUGGCGGACGGGUGAGGAAUACAUGGGAAUCUGCCCAGUCGUGGGGGAUAACGUAUGGAAACGUACGCUAAUACCGCAUGCGCCCUUUGGGGGAAAGCCGGGGACCUUCGGGCCUGGCGCGAUUGGAUGAGCCCAUGUUCGAUUAGCUAGUUGGCGGGGUAAAGGCCCACCAAGGCGACGAUCGAUAGCUGGUCUGAGAGGAUGAUCAGCCACACUGGGACUGAGACACGGCCCAGACUCCUACGGGAGGCAGCAGUAGGGAAUAUUGGACAAUGGGCGCAAGCCUGAUCCAGCCAUGCCGCGUGAGUGAAGAAGGCCCUCGGGUUGUAAAGCUCUUUUGUCCGGAAAGAAAAGCAUUCGGUUAAUACCCGGGUGUUCUGACGGUACCGGAAGAAUAAGCACCGGCUAACUUCGUG
This 489-nucleotide ribosomal RNA is filed under the name uncultured bacterium. Its description in RNAcentral is "partial 16S ribosomal RNA". It matches the Rfam family "Bacterial small subunit ribosomal RNA", at positions 29 to 507 of the family's 1533-position model. The record is from RNAcentral.